RNAcentral lists this ribosomal RNA (1313 nucleotides) under Sclerodermus sichuanensis. RNAcentral's name for it is "16S ribosomal RNA". The record is from RNAcentral. Lineage: Eukaryota; Metazoa; Arthropoda; Insecta; Hymenoptera; Bethylidae.
GGAAAAAAUUUAUUUUAAAGGUAAUUUAAUUUAAGAGUGUAAGUUAGAUUUUUAUAUUUAUUAAAAAAAUUUUUAUUUAUUUAUGUUGAAGUAAUUAUAUUGAUUUAAUAAAAUUGAGGUAAAGUAGUUGAUAAUUAAAUAUAAUUAAAAAAUAAGUAUUUAUUUUAUGUUCCUUUUGUAUCAGGAUUUAUUAAAUUAUUUAUAUAAAUUUUAUUUAUCUAGAAAUUUAAUGAGCUAAUUUGAUUUGAUAGUUAAUGUAAUAUAAUUAUUAUAUAAAUUGAAUUGGGGGUGAUAUAUUAAACAAAUUAAAUGAUAUCUAGUUUUAUAUAAAUUAAAUUUAAUUUAGUUAUAGUGAUUUUUAUUUAAUACAUUUGUUAUUAAGUAAAUUUGUUAUAAUAAAAAUAUACGGAAUAUAUUGUAUAUUUCUAAUAAAAUUUAAUUUUGAAUGUUAAUUUUAUAGAUUUAAGAUUUAUUAUUAUUUGAAUAAAUUUAAAAAUUUUAUUAAUUUAAGAAUUUAUUUGAUUAAUAUAAAAAUUUAUUUAAUUAAUAUAAUUUUAAGUUUUAAUAAAGUAAUUAUAUUAAUAAUGAUAAAAUUAGUAAUAAUAUAAUAUAUUAAAGUAAUUAAUUUAAAUAUAAAAUUUAUGAAUUAGGCAAAUAAAAAUAUUUACUUGUUUAACAAAAACAUCGUUUUUUGAUUAUAAUUUAAGAUUUAUUCUGCUCAAUGAAAAUUUAAAUAGCCGCAGUAUUUUAACUGUGCAAAGGUAGCAUAAUAAUUUGUUUAUUAAUUGUAAACUGGAAUGAAAGAAUAGAUAAAAUAUUUACUUUAUUAAUAUUAUAAAUAUAAAGUUAAUUUUUUAGUAAAAAAGCUAAAAUUUUUUAUUGGGACGAGAAGACCCUAUAGAAUUUUAUAUUAUAAUGAAUAUUUUAAAUUAAUAUAUUUUUAUAUAUUUAUUAUAUUAAUUUAUUGGGAGGAUAAUUAAAUUUUUAAACUUUAAUAUAAUUAACCAAAGAUAAAUGAAGAUUGGAUUUUAUAUAUAAAAUUUUAGAAAAAUUACCUUAGGGAUAACAGUGUAAUAUUUUUAGAAAGUUCUUAUUGAUAAAAAUGUUUAUAACCUCGAUGUUGAAUUUAGAUUAAUUUAAAUAGAAGUUUGUUUAAAUUUUAGUCUGUUCGACUAUUAAAAUCUAACAUGAUUUGAGUUCAAAUCGGUGUGAGCCAGAUUGGUUUCUAUCUUAUAAAAAUAUGUUAUUUUUGUACGAAAGGAUUAGAUAGCAGUAAAAUUUAGAUUAUUAAUGAAUGUAAUUAAUUUAUGAUU